RNAcentral lists this long non-coding RNA (1383 nucleotides) under Sarcophilus harrisii (Tasmanian devil). RNAcentral describes it as "lncRNA (ENSSHAG00000032057.1)". Lineage: Eukaryota; Metazoa; Chordata; Mammalia; Dasyuromorphia; Dasyuridae. The record is from RNAcentral.
AUGCCUAAUUUGGGCCUAAAGGCCAGUCUGAAUAGGAAAUGCAGCAGGCAAGGGAACAGGACCAGCACAACUCCCCUUCGGUCUCCGCUGACUCAGUCUGCCCAGAAGGCUUUUUUUUUUUUUUUUUUUUUUCUUUUUAUUCUCUUCUUGCAGCUGUUGUGGAGUUAUUCCUUCCUUUUUGAGGCAUUCCUAGAUUUGCAAUAUAUAUAUUUUUCCUACCAGAUGGUGUCUUCUUUGUUUUAUGUAUGUAUCUCUCUAACUUUAGUUCCUGAAUUAGAGCUUUGUCUCAGGACCCAGGUCUGCAUGUUAAGCCUAGUCUUACAAGGGUUACUCUCACCCUAGGUCAUGGGGGUACCCGGACUGACCUUCCAUCCAAAAUAGCUGAGGAUCUUUGGGGUUUUGACUGCUGGAUAUUCAGGACACCCUACCAUACCUCAAAACAGGAUACCUUAGACAUCUGGGAUGUCCCAGUCUGACUGGAGUCAUAUGUGUCCUGGUCACUGCUGCUCCCAAAUAUCUGGUUGGGGGUUACAACCAACAUAGGAUUAUUUUUUCCUGCAGAGUGACACACUUACAAACCCUACUCUGGUCUUACUGACCCUACUUUGGCCAUGUUGGGAAGCUACUUGUUCUGGGAUGGAAGAAAUUACUGUAUUUUACCAUUGGAUUUCUUCAUCAUUCAGUAUAGGAUUUUUGCUGGAUAAGGGUGGACUGAACUAGGCAAGGUGCCUCGAUUCUGGAAGACACCUACUAUUACUCUCCACACUGCUAGUACCGGUCUACAUAAUUUAAUUCAGUUCAAAUUUAUUAAACCUCUCCUACAUGUCAAACACUGUGCUUUGGUGCUGGGGAAAGCAGCCAAAAAUGAAGGGAUGCUGAUUUCAAGAGCUGAAGGGGAGGGUACUUCAAGCAUGGGAGAAGAGUGAAAAAGCAUGGAAGAGUAGAUGCAAGGUCAGUAAGUAAGUAGCUAGAUUUGGCAGGAACUACAAUACUAAAGGGAGUGAUGGAAAAUCAGCCUGGAAAGAUAGGUUCUUUGAUAAGAAAAGCCCUUGUUCUUUUCAUAUCAAAGCACAGUCCAUGCUGGAAAACUAGGUCUGCUAAGCUUUUGAGUUUCCACAGCACCUCUGGCUCUCCAUGAUGUCUGAAUUAUUGGAAUCCAUCCAGUAUUGGAUAAAUAGUAGAUCCUAGGCUCAGUACAAAACAAAGUGAAUUAAAAAAAAAUAAUAAAACCCUGGACAAAUUUUACCCUUUAAUUUCCUUACCUGGGGAUGAUGAUAAUACUUGUACUCUACCUCCUAGGGCUAUAGUGGAGAAAGUGUUUUAUAAAUAUAAAUAUGCUAUACAAAUGCGAAUAGUAGGGGUUGAGUUCCUUGAGGGCAGAAG